CCUUAGUUGCCAGCAUUCAGUUGGGCACUCUAAGGUGACUGCCGGCUAAAAGUCGGAGGAAGGUGGGGAUGACGUCAAAUCAUCAUGCCCCUAUGACCUGGGCUACACACGUGCUACAAUGGGCGGUACAAAGGGUCGCGAACCCGCGAGGGGGAGCCAAUCCCAAAAAGCCGCUCUCAGUUCGGAUUGCAGGCUGCAACUCGCCUGCAUGAAGCCGGAAUCGCUAGUAAUCGCGGAUCAGCAUGCCGCGGUGAAUACGUUCCCGGGCCUU
RNAcentral lists this ribosomal RNA (271 nucleotides) under uncultured Anoxybacillus sp. RNAcentral describes it as "partial 16S ribosomal RNA". It matches the Rfam family "Bacterial small subunit ribosomal RNA", at positions 1109 to 1382 of the family's 1533-position model. The record is from RNAcentral. Lineage: Bacteria; Bacillati; Bacillota; Bacilli; Caryophanales; Anoxybacillaceae.